Molecule: long non-coding RNA, 1578 nt
Filed under: Elaeis guineensis (African oil palm)
Lineage: Eukaryota; Viridiplantae; Streptophyta; Magnoliopsida; Arecales; Arecaceae
Description: long non-coding RNA (EGUI_LNC051985)
Source: RNAcentral
UCGGGACUACCUUCCCAAUAUGCCGUAUGCCUUUUACAUACAUAACCAAGAAGUUAGUGGGACUCCCACUUAUCUUCUUGCACAUAGUCAUCCAUAUUUUGAUAAAGUCAAAUAUUUUGACUAUCUCAUCAAAAAUAGAAGUACCGACUCUUCAAUAUAUGCUAUAAUUUAUAAAUGGAUUUGUCCUCCCACUAGAGACAAACUCUCUAGAUAGUGUGCCGCUAUAGCAAGCAAUAAUCUAGAUUGACAUUCCUGUUAGCAGCCUGUUGGGUUAUACCCAUAGGUGCUUCAACCAUAAUCUAUACUUGAUUGAUGUACAGAAAGUUCAUUUCAGAUUUCAUGCAUUUAUCAGAGUCUACUCAUGACGAUCUUUGAAUAGGUCAAGAAAACAUCAUUCACAAUGAUGUAUGGUGUAUCAUCAUUCUCAAUGACAAAUCCAUAUUUUGAGUGGUACACUACAUACUCAGAUUGACCUUCGGUGAGGUGUGUGUGAUGGUUGUGCUUCAUCAACAAGCAUAUUUGGUCGAGAAUCAACUUGUGGACACUCCACAAAUUAUGAUGGGAUAGUUCAUAAGUCUUGAACUUCUUAAGUUCAAUUAUCCUCCCAUUGUCUCCUUAGAAAUUUUUUUUCUAAAAGGUGGCGUACCUACCGGCAAAAUACCUUUUGUCCAGUAGAGUGGUAGAAAUAAUAUCACAUACUACUCUUAGGAUAACCUAUAAACUUAUACAAAAUCUGAUCUAGCACAAAAUUUAUGUACAUUAACUCUUUUCAUAUAAGCUGGCAACCUGUCUUUUUGUCUUUUCUAUAUCUCAUAUGGAGUACUAGUAAUAAAUUUUGAUGAUAUCUAAUUCAAAACAUAUACAAUAAUUUCUAGGGCAAAUCUCCAGAAUGAGAAUUAAAAAUUUGUGAAGCAUAUUAAAGAAUACACCAUAUUUCAUAUGAAGUGUCCAUCUCUGGAUCGAGAUAUUAUUAGCCUUUGAAUAUCAAUAUGUUCAAGACCUAAUAAUUUGCUCGCGCCUUUUUCAUGUCCAGUAAAUGAGAUUUUGGUCAUUUUAUUUAUGAGAAAAGAUUUACAAGUUCUUAUAUGAUUCAAAAUUAUACAGACAAAGAACUCUUCUUUGUAUUACUUGUUUAUCUUUGUCUCAUAAAAAUGAUCAAGUUGGCAGUGCCAGAGAUAUGUGACCAUCACAUAUUCAUUUCUGGUUUUCAUCAAUAUGAAGAACAAUAUUAUUGAGUGAUAGAAAUAUGAGACCAUUAUCAUAAAUCCAUAGCCAUAAAAUAUAUCAGAAGGAGAGUAACUUUUACUCUUUACAUUAAUUUCAAAAUCAUGCUACAAUAGCAAAAGAUUUGUGUUGGUGCAGAAUUUCGCCGAAGCCAGAGUUGCUGGAGUUGAGAUGACUGCGGACGCCGCCAGAACCUGCAAGAAAAGUCUAAACCGGAGUUGGGGGUGCUCCGGCAAGAUCCUCCGAUGCUCAAGUCAGUACUCUGCUUCAACAGAAAUGGAGUGCUCGAGUGAAAAUUUUAGUAGAGUUUUGGGAUAGAGUUUAGAGCUUAGAGAAGAACGUAUCUGGAGGUCC